Gymnothorax javanicus (giant moray) is the source of this 72-nucleotide non-coding RNA. NCBI's taxonomy places the organism in Eukaryota, Metazoa, Chordata, Actinopteri, Anguilliformes, Muraenidae. The record is from the annotation of a GenBank genome assembly.
GGCUCUUUGGCAAUGUGGUCAGCGCGUGUGACUCUUAACCGGGAGUCCGGGGUUCCAUUCCCUGCCGGGCCC